RNAcentral lists this ribosomal RNA (376 nucleotides) under Neogoniolithon sp. AR-2014. Its description in RNAcentral is "bacterial LSU rRNA". It matches the Rfam family "Bacterial large subunit ribosomal RNA", at positions 2094 to 2465 of the family's 2925-position model. The record is from RNAcentral. Lineage: Eukaryota; Rhodophyta; Florideophyceae; Corallinales; Spongitidaceae.
UAUGAAGCUUUACUGUAGCCUGGUAUUGAAUUCGAGUUUAUCAUGCGCAGCAUAGGUGGGAGGCAAAGAAAGCAUGUUUGCGGACGUGCUAGAGCCAACGGUGAGAUACCACUCUUGUUAAACCAGACUUCUAAUUUUGAACGCCAUUAUCUGGCCAAAAAACAUUGCCAGGUGGGCAGUUUGACUGGGGCGGUCGCCUCCUAAAAGGUAACGGAGGCGCGCAAAGGUUUUCUCAGGCUGGUUGGAAAUCAGUCGCAGAGUGUAAAGGCAUAAGAAAGCUUGACUGCGAGACCUACAAGUCGAGCAGAGACGAAAGUCGGCCUUAGUGAUCCGACAGUACUGAGUGGAAAGGCUGUCGCUCAACGGAUAAAAGUUA